Transfer RNA from Neolentinus lepideus HHB14362 ss-1, 93 nucleotides. It matches the Rfam family "tRNA". Rfam says of the family: Transfer RNA (tRNA) molecules are approximately 80 nucleotides in length. Their secondary structure includes four short double-helical elements and three loops (D, anti-codon, and T loops). Lineage: Eukaryota; Fungi; Basidiomycota; Agaricomycetes; Gloeophyllales; Gloeophyllaceae. The record is from Rfam.
UCCGAUAUGGUGUAGUGGCUAACAUUAUCGCCUCUCAUAUUGAAGUUAGUCAUAUGAACGCGAUAGCCCGGGGUUCGAUUCCCCGUGUCGGAA